This 182-nucleotide unclassified non-coding RNA is filed under the name uncultured fungus. RNAcentral's name for it is "sequence contains ITS1, 5.8S rRNA gene". The record is from RNAcentral. Lineage: Eukaryota; Fungi.
UCGAGUUAGGGUCCUCUGGGCUCGACCUCCAACCCUGUGUCUACCUAACCACGUUGCUUCGGCGGGCCCGUCUCACGACCGCCGGGGGGUGAAUCACCCCCUGGCCCGCGCCCGCCGAUGGCCCUCCAAAACAAACUCUGUAUAACUGUGUUGUCUGAGUCAAAAACAAAAAAUUAAAAACA